This is a long non-coding RNA of Felis catus (domestic cat), 709 nucleotides long. RefSeq lists it as uncharacterized. Lineage: Eukaryota; Metazoa; Chordata; Mammalia; Carnivora; Felidae. The record is from RefSeq and is a predicted model, not a curated record. The transcript is spliced from 4 exons.
GGCUGGAAUGGGGGGUGGGGUGGCAGGUAGAGCCCCCUCCCCCACCCAGUGGCGGAACCUGGAGGGGCUGGACAGGUGAAGGGUUGACUGAGAAGGAAGUCUGAUCCUGGACCUCUAGGCCGGAGGGCAGGGACGUUCCUCAACAGAGCCUCCCACAGCUUGGACAGACUCAAAGGAGGACACCAAGUAAAGAGAAGCAAAGUGAUUCGCCUAAUGCCGCACGGCAAGUUAAGCGGCUGGGCCUGAACCCCAGGUCUGUGACCUCAGAGCCCAUAGGCUGGCCUGGAGGCAGUGGCCCUGCCCUUAACUCCCUGCCGGCCACCCCUCAGCUUCAGCUUGGCUCCUGUAGAAGUGGACCCGCUCUGUGCCUAGCAUCCCCUGGAAGCAGUUGGCACCAGUCCUCUAUCUCCUUAACAGUGACCACAGCUAACAUUCAGCCAAGGGGAACUCUGGGUGAGGGACAAAACCCAGCUCAGGCACCUGCCUCCUACCAACGGGAUCAGUGCUGCCUCCCCAGCACCCUAUUCCAAGCACCAAAAAGCCUGCUCCACCCCAGGCAUCCUGCCCAGCUCUUGGGACUUGGACGUUGCUCCCGCCACUCGGAGGCUGAUCACCCGACAGGCAUUAUUUCCUGGUUCCAGACCCAGGCAUGGCCCCACUGGUUCCAGGGGCCCCUAAAAUAAACUCCUUCUACUCCUUCUCCCGGUCA